This 518-nucleotide ribosomal RNA is filed under the name uncultured bacterium. Its description in RNAcentral is "bacterial SSU rRNA". It matches the Rfam family "Bacterial small subunit ribosomal RNA", at positions 28 to 518 of the family's 1533-position model. The record is from RNAcentral.
AGACGAACGCUGGCGGCGUGCCUAAUACAUGCAAGUCGAACGGUCUUUCUAUGGAAGCUUGCUCCACUGAAAAGAUAGUGGCGAACGGGUGAGUAACACGUGGGUAACCUGCCCAUAAGAGGGGGGAUAACAUCCGGAAACGGGUGCUAAUACCGCAUAGUUUUCUUGAUCGCAUGAUCGGGAAAGGAAAGACGGCCUUUGUGCUGUCGCUUAUGGAUGGACCCGCGGCGUAUUAGUUAGUUGGUGAGGUAACGGCUCACCAAGACGAUGAUACGUAGCCGACCUGAGAGGGUGAUCGGCCACAUUGGGACUGAGACACGGCCCAAACUCCUACGGGAGGCAGCAGUAGGGAAUCUUCCGCAAUGGACGAAAGUCUGACGGAGCAACGCCGCGUGAGUGAAAGAAGGUUUUCGGAUCGUAAAACUCUGUUGUCAGAGAAGAACAAGUUGGAGAGUAACUGCUCCAGCCUUGACGGUAUCUGACCAGAAAGCCACGGCUAACUACGUGCCAGCCGCCGC